This 28-nucleotide non-coding RNA is filed under the name Bombyx mori (domestic silkworm). Lineage: Eukaryota; Metazoa; Arthropoda; Insecta; Lepidoptera; Bombycidae. The record is from RNAcentral.
AGGAAUUCGUUCGGUAACUUAGUGGCCC